This 301-nucleotide ribosomal RNA is filed under the name uncultured bacterium. Its description in RNAcentral is "partial 16S ribosomal RNA". It matches the Rfam family "Bacterial small subunit ribosomal RNA", at positions 509 to 809 of the family's 1533-position model. The record is from RNAcentral.
CAGCAGCCGCGGUAAUACAGAGGGUGCAAGCGUUAAUCGGAUUUACUGGGCGUAAAGGGCGCGUAGGUGGUUAUGUAAGUGAGAUGUGAAAUCCCCGGGCUCAACCUGGGAACUGCAUCUUAUACUGCGUAGCUGGAGUGCAGUAGAGGGUGGUGGAAUUUCCGGUGUAGCGGUGAAAUGCGUAGAUAUCGGAAGGAACACCAGUGGCGAAGGCGGCUGCCUGGACUGACACUGACACUGAGGCGCGAAAGCGGGGGGAGCAAACAGGAUUAGAUACCCGUGUAGUCCCUGUCUCUUAUAA